AGGAGACCAUAUCUCCCAAGAAUAUUUUGUACAGAGAUUCAUGACGGCUCUAGAAAGCGGAGUCGCCCUAUAUGGUGAUACGACUGUGUGCGCAAAAAUGAUAUGAAGUCGUUCAACAUCAAUGUAGAAAGCUGGGAGGAGCACGCACAAACCCAUCCAAUCUGGAGGGAACAUCUGGCACUGGGUGCAGCUCAACAUGAAGCGGCUUUGAUCCAGAGGAUGGAAGCAAAGCAAGAAAAAAAGAGCAGCAUGCUACAAACUUGGUCUCCAUUUCAGACAACACAUGGAUUUGUGAAACUUGUAACAAGCUGUCACUCUCAAACUCUGCUUGUCAGCCAUAAGCAGAUUCAUCAGGCACCUAACUAGACCUCUGACGUGCACGCCCUGAUCCAGUGGAUUGACGGUUGCCUAGAGAUAUACACACACAUAGAACCAAAGGCUUUGGCUUUUCAUCUCUCACGCUCCAGACCAGCAAAGACUUGGAGCACUGAAGAAGUCUUACAGGAGCUGUAAGAUGAGCUGUAAGACUCCAGCCUAGGCACUGCUAUCUGGAUGAGCAGAUGCCACAAGAUGGGACCUUCUGAGAAGAACAUUAGCUGUUUGUGGUCACCUUCCGUCUGCUGAGCUCAAAAUAUUUUACCGACAUUAAUUACAGCCUCACAACCCUCCAGCAGGCGAGAUAGAUGUUCCUCUGCCUAUCUCCCUCUGUGGAUCGCUCUGGAGUUCUGGCGGUGGAGAGGGGUCCUGACGUCUAGAAUGAGGCAGCACUGCUCAUGCCUGGAGGCAGAAACAAAGGUCAGAGAAUGCCCUGCAACGUGUGUGGUGCUAGCUUUGGAGAACAAUCCAUCCAGCAGACACGGCUGCAGCAGUUGAGUGAAACAAUCUACGCUUCCUUAAAUUAUCCAGACUCCUCUUGACUAACCCUCCCAGCUUCUGCAAGUGCCAUGUAGGACCACUACCAGGUACUGCAGCUCCUCCAGAUGAGCCAACGUCUGACACAGGAAGCUAGCACAAGAGGAUCUGCAGGACAGAAGAGUUUCAACAGUGGCAGAAUCAUUCACAGACUUAUUCAGCAAACCUGGAGAUGGAAAGGAGGAGAGAACUGAGGUUUAGUCUGGAAUGACUGUAGAGAGAAGGUGAGCAUGUGCACUAAAAGCUGAUUGGCAGCUGAAGCCACAAACAGGCUGGGGUCUCCCUGCAGAGUGAAGAUCACAUCUAUGGCUCCUAUGUAAAAG
This is a long non-coding RNA of Mauremys reevesii (Reeves's turtle), 1235 nucleotides long. RefSeq lists it as uncharacterized. The transcript has 6 exons. The record is from RefSeq and is a predicted model, not a curated record. NCBI's taxonomy places the organism in Eukaryota, Metazoa, Chordata, Testudines, Geoemydidae.